Molecule: long non-coding RNA, 420 nt
Organism: Harmonia axyridis
Lineage: Eukaryota; Metazoa; Arthropoda; Insecta; Coleoptera; Coccinellidae
Exons: 3
Source: RefSeq, a predicted model, not a curated record
UGUUUACUUAUUUUAGAUGAUGACAAAACAUGGGGAAAAGAAUUCAAAGACCUUAUUGAUGACGAUUCUCUUAUUGAUAUCUAGUGAUAGUGGAGAUCCUGAUAUUUCUGGUGGUAAAAAAGAAAGAGAUUAGAUGAUGAAGAAUUAGAUGAUCGACUUGAAGAUGAUGAUUUUGACCUCAUCGAAGAAAAAUAAGGGAUUAAGAUUGAUCCAGAAAGGAAAAUCAAACGUCUAAGGAGAAUUGGAGCGAAUUAAUGUAAAGGGCAACAAAGGAGAACAAUGGACAUGGAUUCGUCCUCAGCUGAGUCCUAUUCAACUAACUCGCGAUACCUUUGGUGUAGACUUUGAUUACAAUGAAUUUUCGAGAUACGAUGAAGAGGAAUAUGAUGAAGAUGAGGAGGAAGACAAUAGUGCAAAAAU